RNAcentral lists this ribosomal RNA (253 nucleotides) under uncultured bacterium. RNAcentral's name for it is "partial 16S ribosomal RNA". It matches the Rfam family "Bacterial small subunit ribosomal RNA", at positions 524 to 776 of the family's 1533-position model. The record is from RNAcentral.
UACGUAGGGGGCAAGCGUUGUCCGGAAUCAUUGGGCGUAAAGAGCGUGUAGGCGGCCCGGUAAGUCCGCUGUGAAAGUCAGGGGCUCAACCCUUGAAUGCCGGUGGAUACUGUCGGGCUAGAGUGCGGAAGAGGCGAGUGGAAUUCCUGGUGUAGCGGUGAAAUGCGCAGAUAUCAGGAGGAACACCGAUUGCGAAGGCAGCUCGCUGGGACGUUACUGACGCUGAGACGCGAAAGCGUGGGGAGCAAACAGG